This is a long non-coding RNA of Xenopus tropicalis (tropical clawed frog), 1008 nucleotides long. RefSeq lists it as uncharacterized. The transcript has 2 exons. The record is from RefSeq and is a predicted model, not a curated record. NCBI's taxonomy places the organism in Eukaryota, Metazoa, Chordata, Amphibia, Anura, Pipidae.
CCCCCACAGCACUGACCAGAUUCCUGGAAUACGCCAUUGACAAAGACCAUUUAGGAAUGUAGAAAUCUCUGCCAACUGCAAUCCGGCAUGGAGGAGAGAAAAGGGCGCUCAUACAAUCAUGGGAGACGGCAAUGAUUAAAAGCUACUGGAAUCAGGUCAUCGGGGACUGGGACUUUCCUUUGCACAUGUAAUGUUCUCAGCUUAUUGACAACGGCAGUUCCAAUCGAGGCACAAAAAAAAAAGUUCUGCACCGAGACCAUAAAGAACACAGAGAAGAGCAACUGUGGACAAAACCAUGGGUAUCCCAUUUUGGUGACACAAAUAAGUCUGGGUUUGUAAAUGUUCCGCUGAGAAAAUGACAAUAUACGUUGCUUAACCGGAGAAAUUCUGCACAGGGAGAAUGAAGUUCUGGUAUGAAUGAAGAAUAACCGCAUUCUUUGGGCCAGCGUGUUACAACACAGACUGCUAUUUUUGGGCCCGACUGUAUUCAUAUUCCUUUUCUAUAGAGAAGCAAGCGAUGAAUGAUUUACACAGCAAGUAUUUAGCAACAUGCUCUUACCCUGUAGGCGAUGCCUCUGAGUUUAUGGAAUCUGAAGGAUGCCAGACACGGGACUGGCCUACAAUAACAGUAGCGCGUGGCUACAGAUUUCCCCACUACUGUCCAAUUAUCCCAUCAGAUCUGUACGUAUGGAGAGGGGUUGGGUCAGUCUGGAACAACCCAUUGCUGUGAGCAUGUAAGAACCACUGAAUGCUUGACCAAUCACAUCUAAUCAAUGUACCUGGCCUGUGUGUGAACAGAUUGUUAUGGCUCGAAAACUCAAAUGUCUGGUAUUAAUUAAGUGCAUACAACCCAAAAACUUGAAUGCAAAAAAAAUCGGCAUCUAAAUGCUUGCGAGUUUCUAUAGAAGUCAAUGGGAGUUGUCAUAGGCAAAGUCAAUUUUUCGAGAAAAAUGCGAGAAAUUUUUAUUCAGACAAGUUUUCCUCAUUAAUAAAUAAGCGAGCAUUCGA